Molecule: long non-coding RNA, 823 nt
Filed under: Anas platyrhynchos platyrhynchos (common mallard)
Lineage: Eukaryota; Metazoa; Chordata; Aves; Anseriformes; Anatidae
Description: lncRNA (ENSAPLG00000018217.1)
Source: RNAcentral
AUGUUUCUAAUAUUAAGAAAAAUGUAGCUUCAAAAGCACGUUUGUACGAAGUAGGUUUUAAAGCCAAUAAUUUUACAAGAAACAACAAAAGUUUUCCCAAAAAACAGGUUUUCAGCAAAAACUCUUCUGCACUUAUUGGGACCAAGCCUUGUGCCUGGUGCUGUGCCCAUGAAACCCGUGAGUGCAGUGAGCUUGGAGAUGAGCUGACACCUCUCUCAUCCCAUGUUCUGUCUGGGGCCGAUUAAGCUGAAUUAAAAUAGUACCCGGCCCUUAGAAGAUGCCAGAAGAACGCUUCAGAUGAGAAGCAGUAAUUUAUUCUGAUUAGAGCUGACUGCGUGCCAGACACCAGCCUAACUAUUCCCCAUCUCCUGCCCCAAAAGGUCAGAGAGCUCGACAUCAGCUUUGCCUGGAUUCAUCCUAAAUAACAGAGCGAGAGCAGGGGGAGGAUGGCGAGCCACUCGCAGGAAUGGGGACUCGAAGAGGGCACAUCUCAUGGUCUCUUGGAAGAAGGGAAGGUGUUUCACUACUCCUUCUUAGUUCCCCUGCUCCAGCUUCUCCCAGCAGAACAGAGGAGUCAGAAGAAAGCAAUUAAUGAAUAAAGAAAAAAGCCCUGCACAAAUGCUUCAAGAUAAAAAAAGAAAAAUUAAGAAAGAAAAAAAAAAAAGGGAAAGAAAUCUUCCAAACGCUGAAGAAGGGGGAUAAUUGAUGGUUCCAUUUUAACCUAAUGUUAUUUCUGGAUCUCCUUUUUUUAUAAUGUGUUAUUUACUGCAUAGUUUAGAGCUGACAGAAAAUAAACAGCAUUUGCAAUAUAACGUCGUUAGCA